AAUACGACUCUCGGCAACAGAUAUCUCGGCUCCCGCAUCGAUGAAGAACGUAGCGAACUGCGAUACUUGGUGUGAAUUGCAGAAUCCCGUGAACCAUCGAGUCUUUGAAUGCAAGUUGCGCCGGAAGCCAUCCGGCCNAGGGCAUGUCUGCCUGGGCAUCACAC
Molecule: ribosomal RNA, 164 nt
Filed under: Anthocleista vogelii
Lineage: Eukaryota; Viridiplantae; Streptophyta; Magnoliopsida; Gentianales; Gentianaceae
Description: 5.8S ribosomal RNA
Rfam family: 5.8S ribosomal RNA
About the family: 5.8S ribosomal RNA (5.8S rRNA) is a component of the large subunit of the eukaryotic ribosome. It is transcribed by RNA polymerase I as part of the 45S precursor that also contains 18S and 28S rRNA. Functionally, it is thought that 5.8S rRNA may be involved in ribosome translocation.
Source: RNAcentral